Molecule: ribosomal RNA, 382 nt
Filed under: uncultured eukaryote
Lineage: Eukaryota
Description: partial 18S ribosomal RNA
Rfam family: Eukaryotic small subunit ribosomal RNA
Source: RNAcentral
UGUAAGCGUAUACCAAAGUUGUUGCAGUUAAAACGCUCGUAGUCGGAAUUUGGCAGUUCCGGAUGUGUGCACGUCGUGUGCGCACUUCGCGGGGAUUGCUUUUGUGGUCUUGCGUAGGAUGAGGCACUUUUAUUAGUGAACGUCCUCACGCAACCACUUUUUACUGUGAGAAAAUCAGAGUGCUCAAAGCAGGCAUUUGCCGUGAAUGUAUUAGCAUGGAAUAAUAGAACAGGACUUGGUUCUAUUUUGUUGGUUUGUUGGGACUGAGUAAUGAUUAAGAGGGACAGUUGGGGGCAUUUGUAUUUCGGUGCUAGAGGUGAAAUUCUUAGAUUACCGAAAGACAAACUGCUGCGAAAGCGUCUGCCAAGGAUGUUUUCAUUGA